This 419-nucleotide ribosomal RNA is filed under the name Acidovorax sp. R-24336. RNAcentral describes it as "bacterial SSU rRNA". It matches the Rfam family "Bacterial small subunit ribosomal RNA", at positions 10 to 433 of the family's 1533-position model. Lineage: Bacteria; Pseudomonadati; Pseudomonadota; Betaproteobacteria; Burkholderiales; Comamonadaceae. The record is from RNAcentral.
AGUUUGAUCCUGGCUCAGAUUGAACGCUGGCGGCAUGCCUUACACAUGCAAGUCGAACGGUAACAGGUCUUCGGAUGCUGACGAGUGGCGAACGGGUGAGUAAUACAUCGGAACGUGCCCGAUCGUGGGGGAUAACGAAGCGAAAGCUUUGCUAAUACCGCAUAAGAUCUACGGAUGAAAGCAGGGGACCGCAAGGCCUUGCGCGAACGGAGCGGCCGAUGGCAGAUUAGGUAGUUGGUGGGAUAAAAGCUUACCAAGCCGACGAUCUGUAGCUGGUCUGAGAGGACGACCAGCCACACUGGGACUGAGACACGGCCCAGACUCCUACGGGAGGCAGCAGUGGGGAAUUUUGGACAAUGGGCGAAAGCCUGAUCCAGCCAUGCCGCGUGCAGGAUGAAGGCCUUCGGGUUGUAAACUGC